This 56-nucleotide transfer RNA is filed under the name Luciola sp. FM20. RNAcentral's name for it is "tRNA-Ser". Lineage: Eukaryota; Metazoa; Arthropoda; Insecta; Coleoptera; Lampyridae. The record is from RNAcentral.
GAAAUAUGUAAUUCAAAAUGAAACUUCUAAUUUCAAUUUUAAGCAGUAAAAUCUGU